This 750-nucleotide long non-coding RNA is filed under the name Homo sapiens (human). Lineage: Eukaryota; Metazoa; Chordata; Mammalia; Primates; Hominidae. The record is from RNAcentral.
UCAGUUCCCGCCUCGCGGUGUGUGCCUGCCCCGCUGCGAUGGAGGUCCUAAGAGCAAGGGGGGGAAGAGGGGCUGGCUCUGGUAGAUUGCAAAUGACCUGCUUUUUUUCUGAUCCCGAGCUGCGUUCGGACCCCUGUCGGAUAGUAAAUCCCAGGUACCUGCCGUGGGCAGAUCUGAGCUUUCUUCUUGGACACCCCAUACCCACAGUCCUCCAGGCCACCCUUAAGUACAAUGUUCUCCUACCUAAGAAGGCAUCUGGAUUUUCUCUUUCCUUGGAAAUAGUAAAGAACUACUCUUUGACUGUUUUUGACCUCACAGUGAACCUCAAAUACACUGGAAUUCGCAAUAAAUCCAGUAUGGUGGUUAUAGAUGUAAAAAUGCUAUCAGGAUUUACUCCAACCAUGUCAUCCAUUGAAGAGCUUGAAAACAAGGGCCAAGUGAUGAAGACUGAAGUCAAGAAUGACCAUGUUCUUUUCUACUUGGAAAAUGUUUUUGGUCGAGCAGACAGUUUCACUUUUUCUGCUGAGCAGAGCAACCUUGUGUUCAACAUUCAGCCAGCCCCAGGCAUGGUCUACGAUUAGUACGAAAAAGGUGGAGAAGCAUUUCUUUUAACAAACUGAUUCUUCUGUAUCAAACCUGGAAAAAAAUCAUGAACCAUCUGACAUCGUGAACAGUCUGCAGUGGGCUAUGGUUUCUUGACAAGUCUUAUUUCCUUAUCAUCCCAUUAAAUGUUGUCAUUUUGCAUCUGAG